Molecule: ribosomal RNA, 874 nt
Filed under: Bacillus sp. (in: firmicutes)
Lineage: Bacteria; Bacillati; Bacillota; Bacilli; Caryophanales; Bacillaceae
Description: bacterial SSU rRNA
Rfam family: Bacterial small subunit ribosomal RNA
Source: RNAcentral
UCAGGCUCAGGACGAACGCUGGCGGCGUGCCUAAUACAUGCAAGUCGAGCGGACAGAAGGGAGCUUGCUCCCGGAUGUUAGCGGCGGACGGGUGAGUAACACGUGGGUAACCUGCCUGUAAGACUGGGAUAACUCCGGGAAACCGGAGCUAAUACCGGAUAGUUCCUUGAACCGCAUGGUUCAAGGAUGAAAGACGGUUUCGGCUGUCACUUACAGAUGGACCCGCGGCGCAUUAGCUAGUUGGUGAGGUAACGGCUCACCAAGGCGACGAUGCGUAGCCGACCUGAGAGGGUGAUCGGCCACACUGGGACUGAGACACGGCCCAGACUCCUACGGGAGGCAGCAGUAGGGAAUCUUCCGCAAUGGACGAAAGUCUGACGGAGCAACGCCGCGUGAGUGAUGAAGGUUUUCGGAUCGUAAAGCUCUGUUGUUAGGGAAGAACAAGUGCAAGAGUAACUGCUUGCACCUUGACGGUACCUAACCAGAAAGCCACGGCUAACUACGUGCCAGCAGCCGCGGUAAUACGUAGGUGGCAAGCGUUGUCCGGAAUUAUUGGGCGUAAAGGGCUCGCAGGCGGUUUCUUAAGUCUGAUGUGAAAGCCCCCGGCUCAACCGGGGAGGGUCAUUGGAAACUGGGAAACUUGAGUGCAGAAGAGGAGAGUGGAAUUCCACGUGUAGCGGUGAAAUGCGUAGAGAUGUGGAGGAACACCAGUGGCGAAGGCGACUCUCUGGUCUGUAACUGACGCUGAGGAGCGAAAGCGUGGGGAGCGAACAGGAUUAGAUACCCUGGUAGUCCACGCCGUAAACGAUGAGUGCUAAGUGUUAGGGGGUUUCCGCCCCUUAGUGCUGCAGCUAACGCAUUAAGCACUCCGCCU